GUGCCCCAUUCAGUAGCACAUACACUAAAAUUGGAAGGAUACAAAGAAGAUUAGCAUGGCUCUGCACAAGGAUGACAGAAAAAUUUGUGAAGCCUUCCAUAUUUUU
This is a small nuclear RNA of Rattus norvegicus (Norway rat), 106 nucleotides long. NCBI's taxonomy places the organism in Eukaryota, Metazoa, Chordata, Mammalia, Rodentia, Muridae. The record is from Ensembl.